UCUCUAGUAUAACGCAUAGUUGAAAAGAACUUUUAUACGUCUUGACUUUGUAUCUCAGAAGUUGUAUAUCUGACGUAUAGAUUAGACCGUAAAGUAGUCAGUCUGAAAUAUCACCCUAAAAUUCACCUGCAUGACAGUUUCCUUCAGACACUGCCUCCCGUGGGGCUGAACUCGAGAUUCCAGGGAACCUGUCUCGGCACAGAAUGUGCCGGACGCCUUUUGAAAGUACAUUCAGCACACGGUUUACCAGCACAAGGACAUCCGAAGUUUCAGUGCUUGGUGAUCAUACCUCACCUCUUUCCCCAAAUGGCAUUACCAAGCUGUGUCACCGGGCCUGUCGUCGUUGAGGUGGACUCCUCCGGCUGUCAUACUCAGGGUGGUUCCCGAGGGUGAAGAUCUACCUCCAGAAGAGCCGUUGAAUUUAGAACAGAAGGAUGACUGCCUGCACACAGAGUGCGCAGAGCAGCUCCCGGCACGUGAAAGAUCAGGACCUUGAAGUUCAGGACCCCUGAGGUGUCAGGGCUUCAUCUCACCAGCACUUAGUUGAUACUGAGUAAACAGGUUUAUUUCCUCCGCGAGGACCCUCCCUUGUCUGUGCCCCGUGUCAUAGAUAAGUUGCCCUCCCUCCUCUGCCCCCGCCCCGCCCGCCCCACUCAGGCGCCCCCUGUGGCGUGUUUGGACAGGUUCCUCCUGCAGCAGCCAGAGCCUCAU
Balaenoptera musculus (blue whale) is the source of this 711-nucleotide long non-coding RNA. RefSeq lists it as uncharacterized. The record is from RefSeq and is a predicted model, not a curated record. NCBI's taxonomy places the organism in Eukaryota, Metazoa, Chordata, Mammalia, Artiodactyla, Balaenopteridae. The transcript has 3 exons.